RNAcentral lists this transfer RNA (20 nucleotides) under Phragmites australis (common reed). RNAcentral describes it as "partial tRNA-Leu". Lineage: Eukaryota; Viridiplantae; Streptophyta; Magnoliopsida; Poales; Poaceae. The record is from RNAcentral.
GCCUUGGUGGUGAAAUGGUA